AGAAAAAGAAACUCUAUGGGAUAAAUAUAAAUAUAAGACAACAUGCAAGCAAGCUCCCUCCAUGUCAAGAAAGUAUCGCAUCGAUGUAACAAGCAGUUGAUUUCAACAAAUUGUCUGGAAUGAAAAGAUCAGGUUUAGCCCGCCUCAAAGGAUUCUAUCUUGUAGAUCAUUGAUAAAGCUGGAAGCAAAAGAGGUCAACUUCUUUCCCGUCUCUCCGGCCAUGUUCUUGAGGGAGGAGAUGUCCUGUGAUGCCUGGAAGGAGAGGCGAUUAAUAAGGUCAGCAGCAGUCAAAUCAAGAUUGGAA
This 304-nucleotide unclassified non-coding RNA is filed under the name Hevea brasiliensis (rubber tree). The record is from RNAcentral. Lineage: Eukaryota; Viridiplantae; Streptophyta; Magnoliopsida; Malpighiales; Euphorbiaceae.